RNAcentral lists this small nucleolar RNA (70 nucleotides) under Myotis brandtii (Brandt's bat). RNAcentral's name for it is "Small nucleolar RNA SNORD113/SNORD114 family". It matches the Rfam family "Small nucleolar RNA SNORD113/SNORD114 family". Rfam says of the family: The imprinted human domain at 14q32 contains two clusters of tandemly repeated small nucleolar RNAs named 14q(I) and 14q(II) snoRNAs. Lineage: Eukaryota; Metazoa; Chordata; Mammalia; Chiroptera; Vespertilionidae. The record is from Rfam by way of RNAcentral.
UGGAUCAUUGAUGACUACUGGUGGCAUAUGAGUCCUAUAUGAUGACUACAUGUUGACCUCUGAGGUCCAA